This 253-nucleotide ribosomal RNA is filed under the name uncultured prokaryote. RNAcentral describes it as "partial 16S ribosomal RNA". It matches the Rfam family "Bacterial small subunit ribosomal RNA", at positions 525 to 777 of the family's 1533-position model. The record is from RNAcentral.
ACGUAGGGUGCGAGCGUUAAUCGGAAUUACUGGGCGUAAAGGGCGCGUAGGCGGCCUGUUAAGUCGAACGUGAAAUCCCCGGGCUCAACCCGGGAACUGCGUCCGAUACUGGCAGGCUUGAAUCCGGGAGAGGGAUGCGGAAUUCCAGGUGUAGCGGUGAAAUGCGUAGAUAUCUGGAGGAACGCCAGCGGCGAAAGCGGCUCUCUGGCCUGUUACUGACGCUGAGGCGCGAAAGCUAGGGGAGCAAACGGGA